UACGUAGGAUCCAAGCGUUGUCCGGAUUUACUGGGUGUAAAGGGUGCGCAGGCGGACUUGUUAGUCAGAGGUGAAAUCUCACUGCUCAACAGUGAAACUGCCUUUGAUACUGCAGGUCUUGAAUCCAGAAGAGAGUUGUGGAAUUCCGAGUGUAGCAGUGAAAUGUGUAGAUAUUCGGAAGAACACCAGCGGCGAAGGCAGCAACUUGGUCUGGUAUUGACGCUCAGGCACGAAAGCAUGGGGAUCAAACAGG
Molecule: ribosomal RNA, 253 nt
Filed under: uncultured bacterium
Lineage: Bacteria
Also listed under: 2 other names
Description: partial 16S ribosomal RNA
Rfam family: Bacterial small subunit ribosomal RNA
Source: RNAcentral